RNAcentral lists this long non-coding RNA (629 nucleotides) under Macaca nemestrina (pig-tailed macaque). Its description in RNAcentral is "lncRNA (ENSMNEG00000045986.1)". Lineage: Eukaryota; Metazoa; Chordata; Mammalia; Primates; Cercopithecidae. The record is from RNAcentral.
AUGCCAGAAUUAUUUCAUACCACAACACCCAAAACCCAUAUCAACUGCCAUCAUCAAACAGAGAAAAAGACCCUAAGAAACUUGGUGAGUGACAACAUAACAGAACAGAAAACAAAUUUCCUGAACACAGAAAAUGAAGUCUCCCUGAAGGAAGGCAAAAGACAAAAAAGAGAGACUAAAAUUGAAUAUUAGGUGGAGACUCUGUCAUCUUUAAAUGCCAUCAUGGACCUACUAACAAGCCGGAAUCACCUUUGAAUAAUUUAAGUUAUGCAUUUAUUUAAUGUGCUUUUUCCCCAGUCAUUCACUACAUGAUAAGAAAUUGACAUCCUACUAUGUGGUAGACUCUAUGCUUCCUAGUUUUCAAAACUUACAGAUAUUUUUUAAUGCUAGUAGUUUUCUCUAGAAAGGGAAUAGAUAUUUACAUAUUUAAGAAUUUUUAUAACCUGUUUCUCAGUUAAUUAGAUCAAAGAAAAGGGUCUAAGUUUUUUCACUUCUAGAAACUCAAAAUCAAAAGGUAAGAGACAUAAAUCAAAAAAUAUUUUUUAAUAUCUUAAAUGUCAACUAAAAAGCUUAAGACACAGGCUUCUGUGCUGGAUUUCAUGGCUAGUAAUUACCUUAUGAUGUAACAG